GGUAAAUGCGUCACUGGAGAAGGGAAGGUGGAUUUUUGCAGUUCCACGUGCCUGGCACAAGGAUAUCAUUUGGUAUACACUGCAAAAGAACAGAAAGAAGAGACUGAAAUAGAGACUGGCACAACAAUGUUCUUAGCAGGAUUAUCCACAAUAGCCAAAGGUGGAAACAGCCCGAAUGUGCAUCAACAGAUGAGUGAAUUAAUAAAAUGUGAUAUAUGCAUACAAUGGAAUUUUCAACCAUAAAAA
Homo sapiens (human) is the source of this 246-nucleotide long non-coding RNA. RefSeq lists it as uncharacterized. The transcript is spliced from 2 exons. The record is from RefSeq and is a predicted model, not a curated record. NCBI's taxonomy places the organism in Eukaryota, Metazoa, Chordata, Mammalia, Primates, Hominidae.